Molecule: long non-coding RNA, 2352 nt
Organism: Osmia bicornis bicornis
Lineage: Eukaryota; Metazoa; Arthropoda; Insecta; Hymenoptera; Megachilidae
Exons: 2
Source: RefSeq, a predicted model, not a curated record
UGCGACAUUCAGACAAGGAGCAACGUUGCAAUAUUUCGGAUGCUGUGACAACGUCGCACCCACCAUAAUGUGUUUUCAGUUUUUUCAAUAUGUGGCUAUAUAUACUAAAUGAAGAAGAUGCAAUGCGUAUUUUUUUUUAUAUUAUUACAUCCGGACUUUUUUUAAACUGAUGUAUAGGGUUACCUUGAAAUAUGAAUUUUGAAAUUUUACUUCGAUAUUUGAAUUUUGCAUUUGAAAACUUAAAAAUGCAAAUGUACACAAAGUAAACUCUAUAAGCUGCUUUAACAUUUUUUAUAAUUCUACUCCAUGUUUGCAACUAGUAAAUUUUCCUCACUUUUGUUUUAUCAGACUAACACAGGGUUGAAUACAUUGCUAUUAUAUGUUUUAUUACUUCUAUAAGAAACUUCUCCAAGGUACUCUACUUUGAUAUGUUUCUUCCCGAACAAAUCGUAAACUAACUAGGUAAAUAACGUGGCAGGUGGAACUUUGUUAGCUUAGAAAUCAGAGCGUCGGCGGCGCCACUUUAGAUUUUCUCCAUCAGAUCUUAGCGAUUACAUUGAUUAUUGCUGUCACAUAAAACUAUUUAAAAUAUUCAAGAAUAAAAUCCGUAUACAUCGUGCAUCGAGAUACAUGCGUCAUAAUUAUACCCGAGAAAUCAUGAAAAUAUUUUGUUCAAUUCAUUUCAACAUACAUUUCGUCGAGAUAGCUGACAAAUUUAAGUAUUUUUCCUUUCCGCGCGCAUGCGCAAAUUGCGUAAUCUAUUCACCAGUCGCAUCAUUGAGUUGACAAAAUACAUACACUAUGCAGAGCGGAAAGAAUGCGGCUUUGAUUGGUCAUAGUAGACCCACCUUUUUUGGAUAUAUGUAUUUCUGUACCGUAUGGCAAAAAAAGAGAUCUCGAAUAUAGUUACUGCCGCUUGAAAAUCACGAUGGACGUGCCGUGUGUCACUGAUUCGGACUUUCAGCCACGCGCGCACAUAAGCCGUCUAAGGAUUUGUCGAUCAGAAAAGGACGCCAUCGACCUUUCAGUCGCGACGGCAGUGACGAUCGGCACGCCAUUGAAUAGCGUUGACGCCUAGCAUCGUGUAUUGACAAUGGCAGCAAUAGCGUAAUCUUAGAAUGUUGAUCAUUAAUGUUUAAAACGUGUCACGGUUGGAUACGGGAAUCCUACUACUAUAUCAACGUCUACCAUUUCAAAAGCUUCAAAGGUCAUUGACGUUGAGAUUUUUGGAGCGGGACAGAGAUCUUUGAAAUUUUGAAACUUUGAAACAACUACUGCCUUUUAUAUAAUGUAAUAUGUAUAAAAAUACUGUAGUAAUUGUUUAAAUAUGAUUGUACGUGAUAUUAAGACAAAAUAUAUCUUGUACAUAAUCGUUAAAAUAUUCAAUUGUAUAAUACAAUGAAAUAUAAAGUUAGGGUGGGGCUCAGGCAUAUGAACCUUAACCAAACACUUAACGUAGGUAGAUCAGUAACGAUCGAAUCCCCUAGUUCCUGUAUGUGGCACUAGAUGGUCGCUGGAAGCAACCCUUCUGUUAUAGAAAAAAGUGUCACUCUUGAAACAUUUUCUUGCUACUUAAACAUUUACAUCUUGCUAACUAUGUUAAUCAAAUAUUCGUAUAUGAUACAGUCAUGAAGGUACAUACGUAUCAUAGAUAUUCAAACGAUACAAAUCACUUCUAAGAUUUUGAGUGACGUGAAUUUUUCUAUGAUUCUGUAAGUUCCUAUUUCGAUAAGAACAUCUAGUUACAUAUAAUUUUAUUAAAUAUUUGAAAGUCUAUCUAAUAGGUAUUAUAAAAGUAAUAUAAAAUAAAUAUGAAAUCAAAUUUUCCCACUUAAACGUUUACACGCAACUAGGGCACGCGAUAUGACAACGUACUUCUAUAUAUUUGGGGUUCCCUCCCCUGCAUCGCCAUUUUCCCUCGGGAGCCCAUCGUACUCGGUACUGUACUUAAGUAAAAACAAAAUCAGGUGAACGAUUGCAGGUAUGAUUGAAUGAUAUGCAUAAGAUAAGCAGAUAUAUGGAUAAAGUAAAGAAUUGAUGAGUGGAAAGAAGACAGGGACACGCUUUCUUUGCCGGGGCGUCGACAUAUCAGCAGUCGGCGAAAGAAGUUCAAUGUGGCGGUAAAGGCAGACGGUAAUGCAGAUUGCGAAUUGGACUUUAGGUGUCUCCUGCUACCGCGUUACACUGUACGUGCACUUCGAACUUCCAGCGUUCGCGACCUUAAGCAUUUGUGCGCUAUCCUUUCAACCAUUUUCUUUUCUUUCCCCAUUCAUGAUUUAUAAAUACUAUAUUUCAAAAAUUGUAUCUCUUUGCCGUUUCGAUAACUAAUAAAUGAAUCUUGUAAAUUUGUAA